This 253-nucleotide ribosomal RNA is filed under the name uncultured bacterium. Its description in RNAcentral is "partial 16S ribosomal RNA". It matches the Rfam family "Bacterial small subunit ribosomal RNA", at positions 524 to 776 of the family's 1533-position model. The record is from RNAcentral.
GACGAACUGUCCUAACGUUGUUCGGAAUCACUGGGCUUAAAGGGCGCGUAGGCGGUCCGACAAGUCAGGAGUGAAAUCCUGCAGCUUAACUGCAGAAGUGCCUUUGAUACUGUCGGUCUUGAGGGAGAUAGGGGUGUGCGGAACUCACAGUGGAGCGGUGAAAUGCGUUGAUAUUGUGAGGAACGCCGGAGGCGAAAGCGGCGCACUGGAUCUCUUCUGACGCUGAGGCGCGAAAGCUAGGGGAGCAAACGGG